ACGGGGCGCAGCAGGCGCGAAAACCUUACAAUGCCGGCAACGGCGAUAAGGGGACCUCGAGUGCCAGGUUACAAAUCUGGCUGUCGUAAUGCCUAAAAAGCAUUUCAUAGCAAGGGCCGGGCAAGACCGGUGCCAGCCGCCGCGGUAACACCGGCGGCUCGAGUGGUAACCGUUAUUAUUGGGUCUAAAGGGUCUGUAGCCGGCCGGAUAAGUCUCUUGAGAAAUCUGGCAGCUUAACUGUCAGGCUAUCAGGGGAUACUGUCUGGCUCGAGGCCGGGAGAGGUGAGAGGUACUUCAGGGGUAGGGGUGAAAUCUUGUAAUCCUUGAAGGACCACCAGUGGCGAAGGCGUCUCACCAGAACGGACCUGACGGCAAGGGACGAAAGCUAGGGGCACGAACCGGAUUAGAUACCCGGGUAGUCCUAGCCGUAAACGAUACUCGCUAGGUGUCGGCCACGGUGCGACCGUGGUCGGUGCCGUAGGGAAGCCGUGAAGCGAGCCACCUGGGAAGUACGGCCGCAAGGCUGAAACUUAAAGGAAUUGGCGGGGGAGCAC
Molecule: ribosomal RNA, 554 nt
Filed under: uncultured archaeon
Lineage: Archaea
Description: bacterial SSU rRNA
Rfam family: Archaeal small subunit ribosomal RNA
Source: RNAcentral